GUGGGGAAUAUUGCACAAUGGGCGCAAGCCUGAUGCAGCCAUGCCGCGUGUAUGAAGAAGGCCUUCGGGUUGUAAAGUACUUUCAGCGGGGAGGAAGGUGUUGUGGUUAAUAACCACAGCAAUUGACGUUACCCGCAGAAGAAGCACCGGCUAACUCCGUGCCAGCAGCCGCGGUAAUACGGAGGGUGCAAGCGUUAAUCGGAAUUACUGGGCGUAAAGCGCACGCAGGCGGUCUGUCAAGUCGGAUGUGAAAUCCCCGGGCUCAACCUGGGAACUGCAUUCGAAACUGGCAGGCUGGAGUCUUGUAGAGGGGGGUAGAAUUCCAGGUGUAGCGGUGAAAUGCGUAGAGAUCUGGAGGAAUACCGGUGGCGAAGGCGGCCCCCUGGACAAAGACUGACGCUCAGGUGCGAAAGCGUGGGGAGCAAACAGGAUUAGAUACCCGAGUAGUCC
RNAcentral lists this ribosomal RNA (450 nucleotides) under uncultured bacterium. Its description in RNAcentral is "partial 16S ribosomal RNA". It matches the Rfam family "Bacterial small subunit ribosomal RNA", at positions 354 to 796 of the family's 1533-position model. The record is from RNAcentral.